AUUUGCACAGUACGGAAGCUUUAAGAUACAAUUUAUAAGUUGAUACACCCGAAGGUGAGUCCUAAUUUUGUCCAAUCUGUCAGAACACCGUCGAAUUCCUCGUAGUCACCACACCUUUGUGAUUCCUGAACCUGGAGGGGCGCAAAACCAAAAUUGAGUGGGUCAGUAAAACAAUUCUUUUCAAAUCCAAUUUUUUCUCAAAGCAUUGUAACCCCUCUCCGUAAAACCUGUAUACUUUCCCAGAAAUGUAAAAUAUAAAUAUACAUAUAUAUUCUCAAAAACUUCAAGUCGUUAACUCAACAUUUUCAUAACAAUUAUGUCAUGCCACAUCAUCUCAAACAUUUCUCAUAUUAAUUAUGCCAUGCCACAUCAUCUCAACAGUAAUAAGGUAUGAAUGCAUCAACAUAAUCAUAUCAGGUGCAAGAAAGUAAUCAACCGUAGGCCCUCUAAUAGCCCUGUACGGUUGAACCUAGAGCUCAAAAUCUAUCACUCUCACUCUCUGCCGGAGUCACUCCGCGUGACCUGUACGGCCUUCUGCACAUAAGUUACGCUCUAGUGCUUUUCAUAAUCAUCUGUGCACAUAAUCUAAGGUCACCCACCAGUCGGAAUCUCACUAACACUCUCGCGACUGGCCUGUCGUACCCACUCCGCGUGGACUGUACGACUAGCAUCUACUUGGAUCCAAGACGAGCGUGCGAUGCGGUGAAUACUAUAAGCACUAAACUAUGGUGCAUGAUUUGAGCUCAAUAUACAUCAACAUCAUCAUAACAGAAAUAAAUACUCACAUGUGCGUCCACCGCACCAUUUCAUACAUAUGCAUCAUAAAUCAAUUCUUACCUGUGCGUCCACCGCACCAAUUCAUACAUAUGCAUCAUAAAUCAAUUCUUACCUGUGCGUCCACCGCACCAAUUCAUACAUAUGCAUCAUAUAUUAAUUCAUGCAUGGCAUUUCAAUUCACAUUUCUAUAUACUUUUCAUAUCAAUUCUAUGCAUGGUAUUUCACUUCCCGUUUUUCCACAUAACUCAUAUGCAUUUCAUUUUAAACAUAUUUUCAUUUCAAUUCAAUUUCUGGGAAACGUCAAGUAUAUAUAUAUACGGAAAACAAAACUGCCCACUCACCUGGAGUUCGUCCAACAACUCCCUAGCACCACACAUCAAGGCGUCACGACGAUCGCCGCCUAGAAUAGUAAUCAAAUCCAACCUCAGAAUUCAUAUCGAUAGAAUAUAUAACUUAUAUAAAAUACGUCACUACGUAGUUCGAUCCGAAAGAUCUGCCACUCAGAUUUUAAAUCCAUAACUUCCAGAGGUCCACAAUAUAUCUCUAGGAUAACCUCCUAAAAUUUCAUUACCAUCCAACGGUCGGAUCUCCGUAAAUUUCCAAAACAAUUCCAAUUCCGGAAGAUCCGUAACUCGGAUUCCCAAUCCGUAAGUUCCAAUAAUCCUCAAAUAUUACGUAUUACAACGUAUCAAAGUUUGGUAACGAUCCAACGGUCGGAUCGUCAAUUCACAUUUUUACCUAAAUGUGAAAACUAUAAAACGUUAUUCGAACACCUAACCAACAAUCCUUAAUAACUUUCUCAUACGGUGCUCAAUUUGGGUAUAUGAAUAUACCACGGUGAUCUACUCGACGUCACGGACGUCGACAUAUUUUUAAAAUAAUUUUAUUUUUAUUUUUUUACUGUAGCACCUUCUUCUUCCUUGGGUCGCCGGACUGGUUUUUCCGGCGGCCGUUUUCCGGGCAGUUUUUCAAAUUUCCAUAACUUUGUCAUUUCUCAACGAAAUCAAGUGAUUCAAAAACGAGAGUUGUAGCCCUUGAAGAGACAAAGAGAAUGGUACCUUUCACAACACCUAGUUCGCCGUGGUUUGGCCGGAAACUGCCUCGAAAGCCUCGGAGGUCGCCGGAAACUGGGUAUUUUUCAAAUGAGUAUAACUUCUUCAAUACUCAACGAAAUUGAGUGAAACAAAAAGGAAAGUUGUAGUACUUGACGAGACGAAGAUAUUUAUACCUACCUCGACUCCUAACUCGCAGGGGAUUCGCCGGAAAAAGCCUCGAAAGCUCCGGCCAAACUUUGAACUUGUCGAUCUCCGUGUUCUUACGUCCAAAAACUUCCAACGAAGCACUCCGAGCUUCCUUGGGACUUCCUAAAGCUCACUAUGAGCUUGGUUUGGCCUAAAACACGACCAAUUCAAAGCUCAUGAACAGUACACAUUCACGGCAACUUUAGAAACUAGGGUUUUCGAAGUGAAACUUACUUGAAAUGGGUAUCAUCGUGAUCGUAUGGUCUUCAGGAGUACGAUGGCACUCUUAAAUCCGUCGUUGGUGGAAGUUUAGGGUGUUUUUGUGGUGGUCUUGGUGGUUGCCGUGUGUUCGAGAGGGUGAGAGAGAGAGAGAGAUCUGAAAUGGAAGAAGAAGAGAGAGAAGGGAAAGGUUACGGGUUUUAGGGAGUGUUUUGAGGUAUGAGGAUCCCACCUUAACCCAAACACAACAUUACAACCUAGUUUUUAGUCCCUAACACAAAUUAACCAUAGUUCAGGAACUUUAAAAAAAACAAAUGUCAUCUCUUUACACACCUUAAUCUCGUUUAAGGUCAUUUUUGAAAUUUCACGUCCUCGGAAUGAAAAAUCCCGGGACGAGCUGUGACAAUCUUCCCUCCUUAUAGAAUUUCGUCCCCGAAAUUCCAGCAACCAGCUAAAUUAACCAUACUCAUACAAUAGCCUCGGGUAAAUCUCUCUCAUCCGAUUCUCUUUCUCCCACGUAAUUUCUUCCACCGAAUAAUUUUCUUCACAAAAAACUUUUACCACUUACCCUGUUUUAAUUCUGAGGGCAUCACAAGCUUGUAAGCAACUUCACCAACUUUUCGAUAAUCACUUAAGUCCGAUUCACUUAGGAUUUAACUUACCUUCUUUCUCUACCUUGGUUAAUUCUUAAAUUUCUUCGUCAAGCAUUUAAGUUUCGAGUACGACCUUACCAAACAGGCCUAACUUGAAAUUUUAACAAGUAUAACUUCUUCUCGAUCUUCCCAUUCUUAAUUUUUCUUCCGUUGGUUUUCAAUUCACAAGAUGAUACUCUUGGCAAACGUGCCAGACAUUAAUCAUACUGUAGUCUUCUCACCAAGUGCUUCAGCUACAACAAUUCACGAUCACCCUGAUCGUACCAUCAUGUUCAUUAAGCAAUACAAUUCACCUUUGUUGCCUCAUAUCAAAAUCCUUCCGAAUAAACAAAUAUUGGAGACUCUUUUGAUUUGUAAAAUCUUGCAUUCUUUUCAACAUAUAAUGUCUCCACAACUUCACAGCAAGGAUGAUAAUCGUGACUUCCAAGUCACCAGUAGGGUAAUUCAUCUCAUUAGGUUCCAUUUGUCGUGAAACAUAUUCAAUCACCCUAACAUUUGCAUCAAUACAUCUCCAAGAAUAUUUAAUGUACCAUCACCAUAAACCAAUAAUUACCGCUAUCUUCUGGGAUUACUAAAAUACGUGCAUGAGUGAGGAAAUACUCCAGUUGUUGAAUCCUUUGCUCACAAUUUCCUUCCCACUCAUACAUAACCUCCUUUCUCAACAGUCUUGUCAAUGACAAAGCAAUGACUAAAAAUUCUUUCACAACCAUCCAAAAUAGCCUGAUAAGUUAAGAAUUUCCGAAUCUCAAUUAUGACUUGUGGUUGUUCCAAUUUCUCAAUUCUGCUGCCUUUUAAGAAUUCAUUUGAAUACCUUAAGCAGAUAUAACCAACCUCAGAAUGCCACCUGAUUCAUCUAACUUUCGCAUUUGCUAAACUUAGCAUAUAAUCGACAUUCUUCCAAUCUUUGUUCCACCGACUUAAUACAUUUACAUGCUCUGCUCUGGCUCAUAAUAUGCCAGAAUAUCUUCAACGAAAAUGAUAUCAAUUAUCAAAGCAUUAUUGGAAUACUUCAUCCAUCAACUCAUAAAACAGAAUGAGUAUCCAUAUAGCAUCACCAAACUUCAUAAAGACUAUAACAAGUCCAGAAAACUAUCUUAUGAUCAAUGUCGCUCAAAAUCUUCAAUUGGUAAUAACCAGACCUCAAUCAAUCUUUUGAAAAUACACAAAUACCUUUGAGCUGGUCAAACAAACAUCAACGCACCAUGGAUAACGGUUCUCGAUCGUUACCAAUUCCAUUGUCUAUAAUCAAUGCACAAUCUCUAAGUCCAUUUUCUUUUUCACCAACAAACUGGGGCUCCUCAAAAGUGUUGUACUAGGUUGAAUAAAACUUUUAUCAACCAAUUCUCUCAACUGAAUUUCCAAUUCCCUUAACUCAUCCUGAACCAAUCUCCAAUAUAAAUUUAUACCUGGUAACAAAUCAAUAAUGAACCUCAUAUCUCUGCCUGAAGACAAUCCAGGUAUACUUCAGGGAAGACAUCAAGAAAAGUCUAACCCCUUUUUCAUUUUUCACACUUCUCCGAGCAACAUCCUUUAGUACCACAUGAACUAAGUAUUUUUUUUUGGGCAGCCUUUCAAAACAAUCUCUUUGCUUUCACAGCAUAAAUAACGGCCUGACUCAAUCCACUUUGCAUACUUACAAAAGAAAUCCCUGGUCAUCCAGAUCGAUGGAAAAUACUGGUUUCCCGUAACAUUCCGUCUUGUCACAAUUAUAACCAACCAAUCUAAUGGAACAAAAUUAACUGAUACAAUAUAUAUUCUAUUAUUAUUAAGCAUUCUAAAUAAGUACAAUACUAACAUAAAAUAAUCUACCGGGUUGCUUGCUUAACGAAUCCACGAAUGAGUUAUUAAUAUUACGGUCUGCAGCCCGCAAAUACUGAUAAAUCAUCGUUGUCUCGAUAAGUAGGCAACCACUCUCAAAGAUAUAACAUUACUAUUUUGUCACUCAAUGCAAAAUACAUACACUCGUCUCAACUACAUUUAUUUACUACUCUCUAGGUAAUAACAUACAUAAUAAGAAAUAUAUCAGCCGAAGUCAACUAGAAUGACCAAUACGGCUGAUUCAACUCUUAUCUCAAUAAUACGUCGGUCGGAUCCACUCCGCGUGGUCGGUACGGCCGAGCCUAUAACUCACCAAUUUCUCAUGCGUCAGCCAGAUCCACCUCUCGUGGCCUGUAUGGCUGAACAUAUAACUCAUCAAAUCUCUCUGUACCCACGGUCAAUCCGACCAAACUACUAAAUCCAUAAACCUGCUGAAUCGAUACUACGAUGUCAUAGAAAACUGUUGGGUACAACUGAUUUUAGGGACGAUUCACAAUUCUGUGUCCCCUCUGUUCACAUAAACACAUUCAUUAAUUUCACACUUCCCAAAGUGUUAAUUUUGUACCUGCUGCACAAGGUACAUUUCCUGUACUCGAGACACCUUGUCUCAAAAAUCUGGGAUUACCAGUAUAUCCAUCACUUCGCCUCUGACUAGUGGCGUUAAAACCUCAGCUGGAAGAAUUAACUCUAGCUUCACUUCUUUCGAAGCUCUGAAUCUUUCUAUAUCCUUGAUAUGACGAAUCAUUAACUUUAUCGUCUUCUUUUGAUUCCCAUUCAUUUCUUAUUCUUCUUUAUUCUCGUUGCUCAUGUUCUCAGAGUCCUCAAGACUCAACAGCAUCUCGUAUAUUCCUGGUAAGAAGUACAAUGGAUAGUGGUCACCCAAAAUACCACUUCCCUUUUUGUCACCCAGCCUAAAACAACAUAACACCUCCACCAAAUUAACAACAAUAUCUGGAUGGAACGAGGCAAGUCUGAAAACUUUCUAUAAUAUCCCUCGAUCAUCACCUUCCUUGUCUCAUAUUUGUAAACUCUUGUUUACUACCAUCGAUAAAUGCCGGGGGAUAAACUUUUCCUUAAACAAGUCCUUAAAUAAUUCUCAAUCAACUGUUUCCUCCGGUGACAACAAUUAACAAUCCUGUUUCCACCAGGAUACAAAUUCAUACCCAAAACCAGGUAGUCGUCUCGACCCCUUGUCAGAAGGAAAUUUCCUUUAACUUGCAUAAUCUGAAACAUCUUUUCCAAACAGUUAAACCGUCACUUCGUUCCCUCAGGUUCAUUAUUUCAUAAGGUGAUUCAAAUUCGACUCAUAAUCCGUCUUAAAAUGUCCCUUUUUAUAAUAGACUGAAUCACCAUAAUAAUAGUUUCCCCUAAACCGCUAUAUUAGGGAGACUAAAUUCCUCUAACUAAGUGGCUUGCUACGAGGCGGUGUAGUUCUGACAGAAUUCACUAUAAACUUCUCAAGAUGUCCAAGAUUGCAACCAUGCUCUGAUACCAACUGACACACCCCGUCCCGAAGGAGGGCAUGCUGGCCGUCACGUGAGAGUGACGUAACCAUUUGCACAGUACGGAAGCUUUAAGAUACAAUUUAUAAGUUGAUACACCCGAAGGUGAGUCCUAAUUUUGUCCAAUCUGUCAGAACACCGUCGAAUUCCUCGUAGUCACCACACCUUUGUGAUUCCUGAACCUGGAGGGGCGCAAAACCAAAAUUGAGUGGGUCAGUAAAACAAUUCUUUUCAAAUCCAAUUUUUUCUCAAAGCAUUGUAACCCCUCUCCGUAAAACCUGUAUACUUUCCCAGAAAUGUAAAAUAUAAAUAUACAUAUAUAUUCUCAAAACUUCAAGUCGUUAACUCAACAUUUUCAUAACAAUUAUGUCAUGCCACAUCAUCUCAACAUUUCUCAUAUUAAUUAUGCCAUGCCACAUCAUCUCAACAGUAAUAAGGUAUGAAUGCAUCAACAUAAUCAUAUCAGGUGCAAGAAAGUAAUCAACCGUAGGCCCUCUAAUAGCCCUGUACGGUUGAACCUAGAGCUCAAAAUCUAUCACUCUCACUCUCUGCCGGAGUCACUCCGCGUGACCUGUACGGCCUUCUGCACAUAAGUUACGCUUUAGUGCUUUUCAUAAUCAUCUGUGCACAUAAUCUAAGGUCACCCACCAGUCGGAAUCUCACUAACACUCUCGCGACUGGCCUGUCGUACCCACUCCGCGUGGACUGUACGACUAGCAUCUACUUGGAUCCAAGACGAGCGUGCGAUGCGGUGAAUACUAUAAGCACUAAACUAUGGUGCAUGAUUUGAGCUCAAUAUACAUCAACAUCAUCAUAACAGAAAUAAAUACUCACAUGUGCGUCCACCGCACCAUUUCAUACAUAUGCAUCAUAAAUCAAUUCUUACCUGUGCGUCCACCGCACCAAUUCAUACAUAUGCAUUAUAAAUCAAUUCUUACCUGUGCGUCCACCGCACCAAUUCAUACAUAUGCAUCAUAUAUUAAUUCAUGCAUGGCAUUUCAAUUCACAUUUCUAUAUACUUUUCAUAUCAAUUCUAUGCAUGGUAUUUCACUUCCCGUUUUUCCACAUAACUCAUAUGCAUUUCAUUUUAAACAUAUUUUCAUUUCAAUUCAAUUUCUGGGAAACGUCAAGUAUAUAUAUAUACGGAAAACAAAACUGCCCACUCACCUGGAGUUCGUCCAACAACUCCCUAGCACCACACAUCAAGGCGUCACGACGAUCGCCGCUAGAAUAGUAAUCAAAUCCAACCUCAGAAUUCAUAUCGAUAGAAUAUAUAACUUAUAUAAAAUACGUCACUACGUAGUUCGAUCCGAAAGAUCUGCCACUCAGAUUUUAAAUCCAUAACUUCCAGAGGUCCACAAUAUAUCUCUAGGAUAACCUCCUAAAAUUUCAUUACCAUCCAACGGUCGGAUCUCCGUAAAUUUUCCAAAACUAAGUGACGGUUAACAUUUUAUAUUAUGGACUUACAAUUCCAAUUCCGGAAGAUCCGUAACUCGGAUUCCCAAUCCGUAAGUUCCAAUAAUCCUCAAAUAUUACGUAUUACAACGUAUCAAAGUUUGGUAACGAUCCAACGGUCGGAUCGUCAAUUCACAUUUUUACCUAAAUGUGAAAACUAUAAAACGUUAUUCGAACACCUAACCAACAAUCCUUAAUAACUUUCUCAUACGGUGCUCAAUUUGGGUAUAUGAAUAUACCACGGUGAUCUACUCGACGUCACGGACGUCGACAUAUUUUUAAAAUAAUUUUAUUUUUAUUUUUUUUUACUGUAGCACCUUCUUCUUCCUUGGGUCGCCGGACUGGUUUUUCCGGCGGCCGUUUUCCGGGCAGUUUUUCAAAUUGCCAUAACUUUGUCAUUUCUCAACGAAAUCAAGUGAUUCAAAAACGAGAGUUGUAGCCCUUGAAGAUACAAAGAUAAUGGUACCUUGCACAACACCUAGUUCGCCGUGGUUUGGCCGGAAACUGCCUCGAAAGCCUCGGAGGUCGCCGGAAACUGGGUAUUUUUCAAAUGAGUAUAACUUCUUCAAUACUCAACGAAAUUGAGUGAAACAAAAAGGAAAGUUGUAGUACUUGACGAGACGAAGAUAUUUAUACCUACCUCGACUCCUAACUCGCAGGGGAUUCGCCGGAAAAAGCCUCGAAAGCUCCGGCCAAACUUUGAAUUUGUCGAUCUCCGUGUUCUUACGUCCAAAAACUUCCAACGAAGCACUCCGAGCUUCCUUGGGACUUCCUAAAGCUCACUAUGAGCUUGGUUUGGCCUAAAACACGACCAAUUCAAAGCUCAUGAACAGUACACAUUCACGGCAACUUUAGAAACUAGGGUUUUCGAAGUGAAACUUACUUGAAAUGGGUAUCAUCGUGAUCGUAUGGUCUUCAGGAGUACGAUGGCACUCUUAAAUCCGUCGUUGGUGGAAGUUUAGGGUGUUUUUGUGGUGGUCUUGGUGGUUGCCGUGUGUUCGAGAGGGUGAGAGAGAGAGAGAUCUGAAAUGGAAGAAGAAGAGAGAGAAGGAAAGGUUACGGGUUUUAGGGAGUGUUUUGAGGUAUGAGGAUCCCAC
This 8762-nucleotide long non-coding RNA is filed under the name Malus domestica (apple). RNAcentral's name for it is "long non-coding RNA (MDOM_LNC018954)". The record is from RNAcentral. Lineage: Eukaryota; Viridiplantae; Streptophyta; Magnoliopsida; Rosales; Rosaceae.